UGGAACUUGCUUGGUAGAGUAACUCCCUUCAUGGACUCUGUUCUAACAUCACAACUGGAAUCAUACAACUCUCUGGCCAGAUACAAAUUUUGCCACGAGUUAUGCUGAUUCAAGGUGGUGAGGGGAGUCACCGAGUGAUUUAUCAACCCUUAAACAUUAGGAUGCUUGGAACUUGGAAAGGGGAGUCACUGAGUGGUUUAUAUUUUUCUCAUACUACUGAUAUCUGUCACUUGUCGUCUGACUGAUCUGUACAAGUUCCAACUAGCCUGAUCUAUCUGUUCUGUGUCUAGCAAUGUGACCUGAAUUAAUGUCUUUAUUAUUUCAAUAAUAGUAUAUUGUAAAUUAAUAUAAACAGCUCUAGUUACUGCAUAUUUAAUUUGAGUACAGACAUAUGCAAAUGGAAAUUUAAGGUUUCAAACU
Molecule: long non-coding RNA, 420 nt
Organism: Trifolium pratense (red clover)
Lineage: Eukaryota; Viridiplantae; Streptophyta; Magnoliopsida; Fabales; Fabaceae
Exons: 2
Source: RefSeq, a predicted model, not a curated record